AUUGAACGCUGGCGGCAGGCUUAACACAUGCAAGUCGAGCGGGGUGAUGGUGCUUGCACUAUCACUUAGCGGCGGACGGGUGAGUAAUGCUUAGGAAUCUGCCUAUUAGUGGGGGACAACAUCUCGAAAGGGAUGCUAAUACCGCAUACGUCCUACGGGAGAAAGCAGGGGAUCACUUGUGACCUUGCGCUAAUAGAUGAGCCUAAGUCGGAUUAGCUAGCUGGUGGGGUAAAGGCCUACCAAGGCGACGAUCUGUAGCGGGUCUGAGAGGAUGAUCCGCCACACUGGGACUGAGACACGGCCCAGACUCCUACGGGAGGCAGCAGUGGGGAAUAUUGGACAAUGGGGGGAACCCUGAUCCAGCCAUGCCGCGUGUGUGAAGAAGGCCUUAUGGUUGUAAAGCACUUUAAGCGAGGAGGAGGCUCUUUUGGUUAAUACCCAAGAUGAGUGGACGUUACUCGCAGAAUAAGCACCAGCUAACUCUGUGCCAGCCGCCGCAGUAA
This 503-nucleotide ribosomal RNA is filed under the name uncultured bacterium. RNAcentral describes it as "partial 16S ribosomal RNA". It matches the Rfam family "Bacterial small subunit ribosomal RNA", at positions 30 to 523 of the family's 1533-position model. The record is from RNAcentral.